Molecule: long non-coding RNA, 847 nt
Filed under: Triticum aestivum (bread wheat)
Lineage: Eukaryota; Viridiplantae; Streptophyta; Magnoliopsida; Poales; Poaceae
Description: long non-coding RNA (TAES_LNC018636)
Source: RNAcentral
AAAAAUGGUGACUACGCCUGUGUUGUGUAGAUCAGAUCAACCAUCCUUUACAUGCAUGCAUGUUAAUAUUUGUUGCCACCAUACUCAUACUGUAUUGAUAAGAUGGAAUAAAGCUUACUCAGUUUGAAUUCUGAUUUCUACUUUUCUAUCAUGCAUUGCAUACUAGUACCACUACAUACAAACACCAGAGAGCUAUACCGCAUACAAGAUGCAUGCAAGAUGACGAGCAUACCAUCCAUGUGUAAGUAGGUUACACGCCAUCUCCAAUCUUCAUCCAACUAAAUCCAUUUUGCUUCAAAAGAGUUGGAAUUCACUUUGCUCUUCCAUUCAGAAAACUUUAUCCACCAUCGCAGCCGGCUGCAAUCCUCUAAUUUCUGCAUCACGAAUUGCUUCUAAUGUCCAGGCGAUCAUAUUUUCCUGUGACCAAUUCUACAAACAUCCAGUAAAGAGAUUUCACAACUGAAUCAUCAACGGACAAAAGAUUUCAAAAGCAUAUGUAGAGUACCUGUCGCAUGCCCCAGCUAUUAAGUCAAAGACACCCCUGGCUGAAAUCUUAAUCCACACACCACUAACCUGCACAUGAAGGCAUUUUCGACAACCAGGAAAAAUAUACAAUGACAUAUCUUGACAACAAAAGGAAAGCUACAAGCAUCCAAUGCUCAGAAGGAACACAACACUCUUCCCAGGUUCUCACUGUAACUUAGUUUAGUAAUGCACAGGCAUGAUACAAAUGGCACAAACUCUACUAAAAUCAUAUAUCUUUUGAAUAAACCAUCUAUGCCGUACCACGUCCCAGCGCUACCAAGUAGAGUACAAACAGGAGCACCCUGUCUUAUAUGCUCAUCAG